AAUGAACGCUGGCGGCGUGCUUAACACAUGCAAGUCGAGCGAGGCCAGGGGGGCGAACUCCCUCGAGUCGAGCGGCGGACGGGUGAGUAACACGUGGGUAACCGUACCCGGAAGUGGGAAGUACCUCGGGAACGUCGAGCUAAUACCGCAUGACAUCUUUGGGUACGAAAGUCCUGACGAUCAAAGCGGGGUCGCAAGAUCUCGCGCUACCGGAUGGGCCCGCGCCCGAUUAGCUAGUUGGUGAGGUAACGGCUCACCAAGGCGACGAUCGGUAACCGGCCUGAGAGGGCGAUCGGUCACACCGGAACUGAGACACGGUCCGGACUCCUACGGGAGGCGGCAGUGGGGAAGUCUUGCGCAAUGGGCGAAAGCCUGACGCAGCAACGCCGCGUGGAGGA
This 398-nucleotide ribosomal RNA is filed under the name uncultured bacterium. RNAcentral's name for it is "bacterial SSU rRNA". It matches the Rfam family "Bacterial small subunit ribosomal RNA", at positions 28 to 408 of the family's 1533-position model. The record is from RNAcentral.